GACGAACGCUGGCGGCGUGCUUAACACAUGCAAGUCGAACGGAAAGGCCCUGCUUUUGUGGGGUGCUCGAGUGGCGAACGGGUGAGUAACACGUGAGUAACCUGCCCUUGACUUUGGGAUAACUUCAGGAAACUGGGGCUCAUACCGGAUAGGAGCUCCUGCUGCAUGGUGGGGGUUGGAAAGUUUCGGCGGUUGGGGAUGGACUCGCGGCUUAUCAGCUUGUUGGUGGGGUAGUGGUUUACCAAGGCUUUGACGGGUAGCCGGCCUGAGAGGGUGACCGGGCACAUUGGGACUGCGAGACGGCCCAGAAUCCUACGGGAGGCAGCAGUGGGGAAUAUUGCACAAUGGGCGGAAGCCUGAUGCAGCAACGCCGCGUGCGGGAUGACGGCUUUCGGGUGGUAAACCGCUUUCGCCUGUGACGAAGCGUGAGUGACGGUAAUGGGUAAAGAAGCACCGGCUAACUACGUG
RNAcentral lists this ribosomal RNA (468 nucleotides) under uncultured bacterium. RNAcentral describes it as "partial 16S ribosomal RNA". It matches the Rfam family "Bacterial small subunit ribosomal RNA", at positions 28 to 507 of the family's 1533-position model. The record is from RNAcentral.